Long non-coding RNA from Osmia bicornis bicornis, 559 nucleotides. RefSeq lists it as uncharacterized. The record is from RefSeq and is a predicted model, not a curated record. The transcript has 3 exons. Lineage: Eukaryota; Metazoa; Arthropoda; Insecta; Hymenoptera; Megachilidae.
AAACCGUUUAAACGCUUUGGUCGAUGCGAUUUCUAUAGCCUGAAAGAGUAUUGUUAUAACAGUGAUACCGUACCGAAAGAAAGUUACAAACAAGUACCGGGACGAUGGAGAACGCGUCGAAACCUUGGUAAUCACCGAAGACCUCUUUGUAAAAUUCAUCCGUCAGACCAAGGAGUCCUCUGAAACUGCCCGAUAUGUCUCCGGUUAGAGCGCUUAUUCCCAGAACCAAUUCGAUAUCGGAUGAACCUGUACCGAGGAGAAACCGAUCAGCCUGUCCGAGUUGUAAUCGAUUACAUCAUAUCCCAAUUCAUCGCCGGCACGGAGAAAGCAUUCUUUCAGUGGCGAGCUGUAUGGAGCAGUCGUGACGUCCAGGUACCCUCCGUGGCCAUGAAAUCUGACGAGAAAAUCUGUGUCAAAUCGCGAAAUAGAGGAGGAGCGUCGAAAUCGAAAGUUUUCCUGUUACUUGUACCUAACGUCUUGAUCCAGGAGUCUACAAUUUUCAGACUUCGUAAAGUAUGGCAAUAUCUCUCGAUAACUCCAUCCGGGAUUGCCUUGCGCG